Molecule: long non-coding RNA, 816 nt
Organism: Lycium barbarum (goji berry)
Lineage: Eukaryota; Viridiplantae; Streptophyta; Magnoliopsida; Solanales; Solanaceae
Exons: 2
Source: RefSeq, a predicted model, not a curated record
UGAGCCGCACCUCUUCUCUUCGAAUUCUCUCUCCCCCUCCAUUUUUAGCUAAACUUCCACUUCUCUUUAGCCAUGGACAGAAAUUGUCCUCCCAUUUCCGUGUAAACCUGAACUACUCAGAGCCUUUUCCAUUCCUUGAUGAAUAUGGACACAUAAAAUCUUCAAAGACCAGAGAAAAUCGGUCCAUUUUGAGCAGGCAAUCACGUGAAGAAACCUAAAAAAACGUUCGGAUCUGCACGAAUUUUUUGACUCAACUUUGAUUUGUUUUUCUUUGAUUUCAAAUUCCCGCCCAAUGAAAACCCUAGCUGUUUCUACCCCAAUAAAGGCUUGCUUCGAGCUUCGUUUUAAAGGGGGUUUUUUUUUUUGGGAGAGCCAUCACCUUCAUUUAAAAUUAUUGUUGAAAUCAAGCCAAUUUUUUUUUUAAAGAAAAGGGAGUAUUCUGAAUCUGUCGAGAUUUUGGAUUCGUAAGGUUUUCCGAGUUCGGGUUCGUCGUAUUCGAGCGUAGAUCUAACAACCCUUACCUAGUUCGCUGCAUCCGAAAAAGUUCACCAAACUCGGUUGAAACAAAUUCCAGUGACAUUCGGGAUGAGAUUUCUCUAUUCGGGUCUCCCUUUCUCCCCUCGGAAAAUAACCCGGGCAGAAGCAAUAUACAGAGGGGAGAAGACGAGAAAGACUGCUACGUUUUAAAGCAUACCUUACAUUUAUUUGAUUUAUUUAUGUUUGUAUCUGAUUAUUUAACUACUUUAGAAUACUUAAUUUAGUAGGGGCUAAUUGGGACGUUAUUUUGAUAUAACAAUGGGAAUGUUUUUUUUUUAA